GGCCGGGCGGGCGUGCUAUACAUGCAAGUCGAGCGGACAGAAGGGAGCUUGCUCCCGGAUGUUAGCGGCGGACGGGUGAGUAACACGUGGGUAACCUGCCUGUAAGACUGGGAUAACUCCGGGAAACCGGAGCUAAUACCGGAUAGUUCCUUGAACCGCAUGGUUCAAGGAUGAAAGACGGUUUCGGCUGUCACUUACAGAUGGACCCGCGGCGCAUUAGCUAGUUGGUGAGGUAACGGCUCACCAAGGCGACGAUGCGUAGCCGACCUGAGAGGGUGAUCGGCCACACUGGGACUGAGACACGGCCCAGACUCCUACGGGAGGCAGCAGUAGGGAAUCUUCCGCAAUGGACGAAAGUCUGACGGAGCAACGCCGCGUGAGUGAUGAAGGUUUUCGGAUCGUAAAGCUCUGUUGUUAGGGAAGAACAAGUGCAAGAGUAACUGCUUGCACCUUGACGGUACCUAACCAGAAAGCCACGGCUAACUACGUGCCAGCAGCCGCGGUAAUACGUAGGUGGCAAGCGUUGUCCGGAAUUAUUGGGCGUAAAGGGCUCGCAGGCGGUUUCUUAAGUCUGAUGUGAAAGCCCCCGGCUCAACCGGGGAGGGUCAUUGGAAACUGGGAAACUUGAGUGCAGAAGAGGAGAGUGGAAUUCCACGUGUAGCGGUGAAAUGCGUAGAGAUGUGGAGGAACACCAGUGGCGAAGGCGACUCUCUGGUCUGUAACUGACGCUGAGGAGCGAAAGCGUGGGGAGCGAACAGGAUUAGAUACCCUGGUAGUCCACGCCGUAAACGAUGAGUGCUAAGUGUUAGGGGUUUCCGCCCCUUAGUGCUGCAGCUAACGCAUUAAGCACUCCGCCUGGGGAGUACGGUCGCAAGACUGAAACUCAAAGGAAUUGACGGGGGCCCGCACAAGCGGUGGAGCAUGUGGUUUAAUUCGAAGCAACGCGAAGAACCUUACCAGGUCUUGACAUCCUCUGAACAACCCUAGAGAUAGGCUUUCCCUUCGGGACAGAAGUGACAGUGUGCAUGAUGUCGUCAGCUCGUGUCGUGAGAAUGUUGGGUUAAGUCCCCGCAACGA
Molecule: ribosomal RNA, 1077 nt
Filed under: Bacillus altitudinis
Lineage: Bacteria; Bacillati; Bacillota; Bacilli; Caryophanales; Bacillaceae
Description: bacterial SSU rRNA
Rfam family: Bacterial small subunit ribosomal RNA
Source: RNAcentral